GGAAACUAAUCCUAAACCAACUCAAGCAUCACUCUUCUAUUAGACUUACAAGAAUACAGUAGCACGGGAUAAUCUCAACAAAGCUUUGUGAUGAUUUUGAAAUGCUUCAUAGUCUCUAAUGUAAUGCAAAACUCUGAGAAUGUUUUUGGAUCAAAUGUAAUCGUAGAAAGUGAUGAAUUGUUUAAUUAUUUCUUUCUUUAUUCUUUUCUUUUAUGGUUUGUCAAUGAACUAUACAAUGGUGUACAUUUUUCUGUUGAAUAUUUUAUUCUUGUUCUUUUUUACUUCUUUUCGCCAUGCCGAUUAACUUUUCUUUGUUUAACGGGCAUAGCAAUAUAUUGUACAAAUUGGUUAUCUUUUUCGAAUGAUACAAUACCAUGUAUUUUGAGUUUGAUCCACACAAUUUCAUUGAGAGGAAAAAGAAAAUUUCAGUAUUCACUUUAUAUGAGAUUCGUCUUGGCGUAUGAUAAUUUAUUUGUUAUAAUAUUGAUCAUAUGAACAAAUUUCACAGUUUUUAUGUAUGAAUUUGAU
RNAcentral lists this unclassified non-coding RNA (528 nucleotides) under Hevea brasiliensis (rubber tree). The record is from RNAcentral. Lineage: Eukaryota; Viridiplantae; Streptophyta; Magnoliopsida; Malpighiales; Euphorbiaceae.